GACGAACGCUGGCGGCGUGCCUAACACAUGCAAGUCGAACGGAAGCAAAGAUUUCGGUUUUUGCUUUAGUGGCGAACGGGUGAGUAACGCGUGAGGAACCUGCCUUUCAGUGGGGGACAACAGUUGGAAACGACUGCUAAUACCGCAUAAUGCUUUUGAGUGGCAUCACUUAAAAGUCAAAGAUUUAUUGCUGAAAGAUGGCCUCGCGUCUGAUUAGCUAGUUGGCGGGGUAACGGCCCACCAAGGCGACGAUCAGUAGCCGGUCUGAGAGGAUGAACGGCCACAUUGGGACUGAGAUACGGCCCAGACUCCUACGGGAGGCAGCAGUGGGGAAUAUUGGGCAAUGGGGGAAACCCUGACCCAGCAACGCCGCGUGAAGGAAGAAGG
Molecule: ribosomal RNA, 387 nt
Filed under: uncultured bacterium
Lineage: Bacteria
Description: bacterial SSU rRNA
Rfam family: Bacterial small subunit ribosomal RNA
Source: RNAcentral